Molecule: ribosomal RNA, 406 nt
Filed under: uncultured bacterium
Lineage: Bacteria
Description: partial 16S ribosomal RNA
Rfam family: Bacterial small subunit ribosomal RNA
Source: RNAcentral
GACGAACGCUGGCGGCGUGCUUAACACAUGCAAGUCGAACGAGUGGCGAACGGGUGAGUAAUGUCUGGGAAACUGCCCGAUGGAGGGGGAUAACUACUGGAAACGGUAGCUAAUACCGCAUACCAUCGGAUGUGCCCAGAUGGGAUUAGCUAGUAGGUGGGGUAACGGCUCACCUAGGCGACGAUCCAUAGCUGGUCUGAGAGGAUGACCAGCGAAACUGGAACUGAGACACAGUCCAGACUCCUACGGUAGGCAGCAGAGGGGAAGAUUGCAUAAUGGGCGCAAGCAGGAUGCAGCCAUGCCGCGUGUAUGAAGAAGGCCUUCGGGUUAUAAAGUACUUUCAGCGAGGAAGCGUUACUCGCAGAAGAAGCACCGACUAACUCCGGGCCAGCAGCCGCGGUAAUAC